UCGCUCUAUGAGCUGGCGCCGAAUCUUG
This 28-nucleotide small RNA is filed under the name Bombyx mori (domestic silkworm). RNAcentral's name for it is "piRNA piR-bmo-1505973". The record is from RNAcentral. Lineage: Eukaryota; Metazoa; Arthropoda; Insecta; Lepidoptera; Bombycidae.